RNAcentral lists this small RNA (194 nucleotides) under Neogobius melanostomus (round goby). Its description in RNAcentral is "Metazoan signal recognition particle RNA (ENSNMLG00000004990.1)". It matches the Rfam family "Metazoan signal recognition particle RNA", at positions 73 to 269 of the family's 299-position model. Rfam says of the family: The signal recognition particle (SRP) is a universally conserved ribonucleoprotein. It is involved in the co-translational targeting of proteins to membranes. Lineage: Eukaryota; Metazoa; Chordata; Actinopteri; Gobiiformes; Gobiidae. The record is from Rfam by way of RNAcentral.
AGCUCUGAGCUGCAGUGACUGUGUCGAUCUUGUGUCCGCACUAAAUUCGGUAUCGAUAUGGUGCUCCUGGGGGAGCCCGGGACCACCAGGUCGCCUAAGGAGGGGUGCACCAGCCCAGGCCGGACACGGAGCAGGCCAAGCCCCCGUGCCGCUCAGUAGUGGGAUCGCGCCUGAGAGCAGACCCUGCAGUGCAG